GACGAACGCUGGCGGCGUGCCUAAUACAUGCAAGUAGGACGCACAGUUUAUACCGUAGCUUGCUACACCAUAGACUGUGAGUUGCGAACGGGUGAGUAACGCGUAGGUAACCUGCCUGGUAGCGGGGGAUAACUAUUGGAAACGAUAGCUAAUACCGCAUAAUAUUAAUUAUUGCAUGAUAAUUGAUUGAAAGAUGCAACUGCAUCACUACCAGAUGGACCUGCGUUGUAUUAGCUAGUAGGUGAGGUAACGGCUCACCUAGGCGACGAUACAUAGCCGACCUGAGAGGGUGAUCGGCCACACUGGGACUGAGACACGGCCCAGACUCCUACGGGAGGCAGCAGUAGGGAAUCUUCGGCAAUGGACGAAAGUCUGACCGAGCAACGCCGCGUGAGUGAAGAAGGUUUUCGGAUCGUAAAGCUCUGUUGUAAGAGAAGAACGGGUGUGAGAGUGGAAAGUUCACACUGUGACGGUAUCUUACCAGAAAGGGACGGCUAACUACGUG
This 505-nucleotide ribosomal RNA is filed under the name uncultured bacterium. Its description in RNAcentral is "partial 16S ribosomal RNA". It matches the Rfam family "Bacterial small subunit ribosomal RNA", at positions 28 to 507 of the family's 1533-position model. The record is from RNAcentral.